UACGAAGGGGGCUAGCGUUGCUCGGAAUGACUGGGCGUAAAGGGCGCGUAGGCGGUUCGCUAAGUUGAAUGUGAAAACUCUGGGCUUAACCCAGAGCCUGCAUCCAAAACUGGCGAACUGGAGUACUGGAGGGGAAAGCGGAAUUCCUGGUGUAGCGGUGAAAUGCGUAGAUAUCAGGAGGAACACCGGUGGCGAAGGCGGCUUCUGGACAGUAACUGACGCUGAGGCACGAAGGUCAGGGGAGCAAACGGG
RNAcentral lists this ribosomal RNA (252 nucleotides) under uncultured bacterium. RNAcentral describes it as "partial 16S ribosomal RNA". It matches the Rfam family "Bacterial small subunit ribosomal RNA", at positions 524 to 776 of the family's 1533-position model. The record is from RNAcentral.